Molecule: ribosomal RNA, 460 nt
Filed under: uncultured bacterium
Lineage: Bacteria
Description: partial 16S ribosomal RNA
Rfam family: Bacterial small subunit ribosomal RNA
Source: RNAcentral
CCUACGGGGGGCAGCAGUGAGGAAUAUUGGUCAAUGGACGAGAGUCUGAACCAGCCAAGUAGCGUGAAGGAUGACUGCCCUAUGGGUUGUAAACUUCUUUUAUAUGGGAAUAAAACGUUCCACGUGUGGGAUUUUGUAUGUACCAUAUGAAUAAGGAUCGGCUAACUCCGUGCCAGCAGCCGCGGUAAUACGGAGGAUCCGAGCGUUAUCCGGAUUUAUUGGGUUUAAAGGGAGCGUAGGUGGAUUGUUAAGUCAGUUGUGAAAGUUUGCGGCUCAACCGUAAAAUUGCAGUUGAAACUGGCAGUCUUGAGUACAGUAGAGGUGGGCGGAAUUCGUGGUGUAGCGGUGAAAUGCUUAGAUAUCACGAAGAACUCCGAUUGCGAAGGCAGUUCACUGGACUGCAACUGACACUGAGGCUCGAAAGUGUGGGUAUCAAACAGGAUUAGAUACCCUUGUAGUU